CUAUGAAGUGGAAGAAAUGGGCUACAUUUUCUAGCUUAGAAAAACCACCAUACGAAAAGGAGUAUGAAAUAACUCCUAG
This 79-nucleotide ribosomal RNA is filed under the name Caloenas maculata (spotted green pigeon). RNAcentral's name for it is "partial 12S ribosomal RNA". Lineage: Eukaryota; Metazoa; Chordata; Aves; Columbiformes; Columbidae. The record is from RNAcentral.